CCACAGCAGGAUGGCAAGGGGCAAAUGCAUGUAAAAAUACCCCCCAGGCCACAACCCACAGCAGGAAAGAGACAAGCAUAUAAACACAUUGACGCACUCUCACCUUGAUUCAGUGAAGGUGUCUGGUGGAUUCCUGGAGAGCCUGGGGCCGGGCAGCGUCAUGAUGUCCGAGUGUGACAGCUGGGUACAACAAGCGCCGACAUCAGGAGGAUUUGCUGAACUUGAGCAGCAGCUACAGACCAGCGAGGCACCUGCGUGUGACGCACCACUCUACUCCUCUUCCGGCUCCCUCUCUGCAGACUGAGGCAAUCGCAGGCAGGGCUUCCUUUCCUCCUCUGGCCGUUUCCACUUCACCGGGUUGGGAGGGGGGUGCGAAAUGUAAGUGGAUCGGCCAGGGGAGGGAGCCAGCACCAAGUACUUAUUUAAUAAAUAAAUAAAGGCAAAAAAAAUGGGCCCCCAAAAUAAGUGUGCCCCGUGCAGCUGCCCACUUAUUAAAGCAGCCCUGCCCCUGGAGCCAGCACCCCCCUCUGAAAGCAGCAUCAGUAGUUUGAUCAGUAGAAAAGCUCCUUUGUUGUUUCACAGUAGCUGCUCUACUUCUGCAGCUCCCCCUCCCCUUCAACUAACCAUGUGGAAAUAAAGGUGGACUGAACUUUCCUGCCACAUAUAAAUCUGUAUGCGAGUAGUGAGACACGUGAGAAUCAGAUAAGCAGCAAAAUCAAACUGGAGCAGCUACACUCACGUGUCUCACUACUCGCAUACAGAGUUAUAUGUGGCAGGAAAGUUCAGUUCAUAUUAACUACUGAUGCUGCUUUCAGAGGGGGAGAGGAGUUUUUCCAUCAUACGGUGAGAACCAUAAUUAGUGUAAGUCACAGGUUCUAAUCAUCACUUGUACAGUUCCCACACAGAGACAGGUUCCCAUAUUAGGCCAGCAAAACACUAGCACGCCGCAGCCCCACCAAUGAGCGUGUCCCUGGGCGGAGCUUAACUUGUAAACACAACAGCUCCUGCUAAAAAGCAGGAGAGUAUGUUGGUGCCCAAGCAAUACAAAAUUGACCCGCAUGUCCCAGUAGGUCUAUUGAAUCCCCCUCCCGCACACAGUCCUGCAGUGCCGGGAAAUUCAUGGCAGCGCUGGGGCAGGAACCUGUGCCCUGGUGCAGCAGCCAGACUCAGCCACUUGUUUGAUUCACUGCGGGUAGCCAAUGAGAAUUUAGGGUACUAGUCCCGUUAUCUCUGUCCAAUCAGAGCCUGGAGUACGUGUGACGUGACUCUACUGUUAGUGACAUGAAAGAAUCCUGUCCCGCUGUCAAACUCUAUGGUUCAGGUGUAACUAAGGGAGACCGUUAUUAGCUCAGGCUGUAAUCUCAGCACGUUCCCAAUGUAAUGGCAAAGCAGUGAUUAGUAAGUAACUGCACGUCACGCUGCUGCUUUGGAAUUUCUUACGCGAUGGAGUUAUGAGGAAAACGUGAUGCGGCUGCUGCCUACAUCCAUCUUCAGGAGCCGAGACGAGCAGCUGAGGAACAUGUGGAAAUGUCCCCGAGCCAUCGCGCCGAAUGACAGGAAUUAGGUGAGACGAUCAGCCGAAGAACAGGUGAUUUCCUCUGCGCUUUUGGACCUGACCUGACACGUCCAAAAUUGGAAGAAGGAGAUGAAAGAGAGAAGAUGACAAAGGAUUUGCGGAUCUCCUGUUUCCUAGAGAAUGCAGAUGCUGCCUGAUCCCCAGACAGGUAGGCUGCUUUCACUCCUGGUUUGGCAGCUGAAGAGUC
Molecule: long non-coding RNA, 1763 nt
Organism: Xenopus laevis (African clawed frog)
Lineage: Eukaryota; Metazoa; Chordata; Amphibia; Anura; Pipidae
Exons: 3
Source: RefSeq, a predicted model, not a curated record